GUGCCUCAGCAGCACAAACAUUAAAACUGGAACAAUACAGAAGAUUAGCACGGCCCCUGAACAAAGAUGACACGCAAAUUUGUGAAGUGUUCCCUAUUUUU
RNAcentral lists this small nuclear RNA (101 nucleotides) under Neotoma lepida (desert woodrat). Lineage: Eukaryota; Metazoa; Chordata; Mammalia; Rodentia; Cricetidae. The record is from RNAcentral.